This 433-nucleotide ribosomal RNA is filed under the name uncultured bacterium. Its description in RNAcentral is "partial 16S ribosomal RNA". It matches the Rfam family "Bacterial small subunit ribosomal RNA", at positions 29 to 507 of the family's 1533-position model. The record is from RNAcentral.
AACGAACGCUGGCGGCAUGCCUAACACAUGCAAGUCGAACGAUCCCUUCGGGGAUAGUGGCGCACGGGUGCGUAACGCGUGGGAACCUGCCCUUAGGUUCGGAAUAACUCAGAGAAAUUUGAGCUAAUACCGGAUAAUGUCUUCGGACCAAAGAUUUAUCGCCUUUGGAUGGGCCCGCGUUGGAUUAGCUAGUUGGUGGGGUAAAGGCCUACCAAGGCGACGAUCCAUAGCUGGUCUGAGAGGAUGAUCAGCCACACUGGGACUGAGACACGGCCCAGACUCCUACGGGAGGCAGCAGUGGGGAAUAUUGGACAAUGGGCGAAAUCCUGAUCCAGCAAUGCCGCGUGAGUGAUGAAGGCCUUAGGGUUGUAAAGCUCUUUUACCCGGGAUGAUAAUGACAGUACCGGGAGAAUAAGCCCCGGCUAACUCCGUG